GAGACAACCCGGGCAGACAGGCGGUGUGGGUGUGCAGGGGGAGCUGAUCCCCAUCCUCCAACUGCCACGCUGCAACUGAAGGAGAAAAUGUCUCUGUGUCUAAGCUCAGGGUUGCAGUCUCUGGGGCAGCAAAGAGAACAUCUUUAGCCAAUAUACUGCAUUCCCUGAACAGCAACUAAUGCCAACAGAGGGGAAGUGAACACACCCAUGUCCCAUCCAGGAGCAGCAGGCGGUCGUGCAGGCCCAAGAGCCUGAAACUGAGACCCAAGAUGUGAGUGACCCAGAUUCAGACAUGACGUGCCAGAAGGCAGCCUUGAUUUGGAGCACUCUAUUCACAGGUACAGUGUGGGCUGCUCUAGGCAGAGGCUCACUUGCUCAUUGUCCUCCUCUGUUUUUCAUGAGAAAUUCCACCCUGGUUCUGAGAAAUGUACCCAAUAAAAUGGUGUUAAUAUGAA
Long non-coding RNA from Gallus gallus (chicken), 455 nucleotides. RefSeq lists it as uncharacterized. Lineage: Eukaryota; Metazoa; Chordata; Aves; Galliformes; Phasianidae. The record is from RefSeq and is a predicted model, not a curated record. The transcript has 4 exons.